UAGGGAAUCUUCGGCAAUGGACGGAGGUCUGACCGAGCAACGCCGCGUGAGUGAAGAAGGUUUUCGGAUCGUAAAGCUCUGUUGUAAGAGAAGAACGAGUGCGAGAGUGGAAAGUUCACACUGUGACGGUAUCUUACCAGAAAGGGACGGCUAACUACGUGCCAGCAGCCGCGGUAAUACGUAGGUCCCGAGCGUUGUCCGGAUUUAUUGGGCGUAAAGCGAGCGCAGGCGGUUAGAUAAGUCUGAAGUUAAAGGCUGUGGCUUAACCAUAGUACGCUUUGGAAACUGUUUAACUUGAGUGCAAGAGGGGAGAGUGGAAUUCCAUGUGUAGCGGUGAAAUGCGUAGAUAUAUGGAGGAACACCGGUGGCGAAAGCGGCUCUCUGGUCUGUAACUGACGCUGAGGCUCGAAAGCGUGGGGAGCGAACAGGAUUAGAUACCCUGGUAGUCCACGCCGUNNCGAUGAGUGCUAGGUGUUGGAUCCUUUCCGGGAUUCAGUGCCGCAGCUAACGCAUUAAGCACUCCGCCUGGGGAGUACGACCGCAAGGUUG
RNAcentral lists this ribosomal RNA (549 nucleotides) under uncultured bacterium. RNAcentral describes it as "bacterial SSU rRNA". It matches the Rfam family "Bacterial small subunit ribosomal RNA", at positions 355 to 896 of the family's 1533-position model. The record is from RNAcentral.